AUGGAGCCGACCUUGAAAUACCACCCUUUAAUGUUUGAUGUUCUAACGUGGACCCGUAAUCCGGGUUGCGGACAGUGUCUGGUGGGUAGUUUGACUGGGGCGGUCUCCUCCUAAAGAGUAACGGAGGAGCACGAAGGUUGGCUAAUCCUGGUCGGACAUCAGGAGGUUAGUGCAAUGGCAUAAGCCAGCUUGACUGCGAGCGUGACGGCGCGAGCAGGUGCGAAAGCAGGUCAUAGUGAUCCGGUGGUUCUGAAUGGAAGGGCCAUCGCUCAACGGAUAAAAGGUACUCCGGGGAUAACAGGCUGAUACCGCCCAAGAGUUCAUAUCGACGGCGGUGUUUGGCACCUCGAUGUCGGCUCAUCACAUCCUGGGGCUGAAGUAGGUCCCAAGGGUAUGGCUGUUCGCCAUUUAAAGUGGUACGCGAGCUGGGUUUAGAACGUCGUGAGACAGUUCGGUCCCUAUCUGCCGUGGGCGCUGGAGAACUGAGGGGGGCUGCUCCUAGUACGAGAGGACCGGAGUGGACGCAUCACUGGUGUUCGGGUUGUCAUGCCAAUGGCACUGCCCGGUAGCUAAAUGCGGAAGAGAUAAGUGCUGAAAGCAUCUAAGCACGAAACUUGCC
This 619-nucleotide ribosomal RNA is filed under the name Escherichia coli. RNAcentral's name for it is "partial 23S ribosomal RNA". It matches the Rfam family "Bacterial large subunit ribosomal RNA", at positions 2180 to 2798 of the family's 2925-position model. The record is from RNAcentral. Lineage: Bacteria; Pseudomonadati; Pseudomonadota; Gammaproteobacteria; Enterobacterales; Enterobacteriaceae.